Long non-coding RNA from Pyrus x bretschneideri (Chinese white pear), 1280 nucleotides. RefSeq lists it as uncharacterized. The record is from RefSeq and is a predicted model, not a curated record. NCBI's taxonomy places the organism in Eukaryota, Viridiplantae, Streptophyta, Magnoliopsida, Rosales, Rosaceae. The transcript is spliced from 5 exons.
UGCUACCUUUUUCUUUUCAAGGGAUGGGGUUAGAUACUGUUUGUUGCCUCUGAGACUGAGGUUGAACAACUCGCAGCAGUAUCAAGUGAAAGUCAUAAAAAUUCCAAGCUAAAUUUAUUUUUGGAAGUAGAUUUUGGGCCGGAUCUACUCGCAGUUCCUCUGCCUGACAAGACCAACGAAGAUAUCCUUCUUUUCUUUAAGCUUUAUGAACCAAAGAAACAAGGACUACGGUAGCUCUGCCUCUUUCUGCUCAGUUAUCAUAUUUUCUCCAUGUCAUUUUCGUUCGCUGAUUUAGUCUUUUGUUGCAACUUACAAGGGAAGGGGAGAGGGGGGAUUCGAACUCCAUUCUUAGGUGUAGGGUUAAAUGCUCUCGAUCAGUAGAGCUAUAAUUCUCCACCUGAUUUAAGCUUCUUCUGUGUUACCAGUUUUGUUGUUAGGCUUUACAUGAGGAGGUCUAGUGAGCCAACAGAAAUUUUGGUAAGGUUAAAUCAACUGGCUGGGUUUUCCCCUGAGGAAGAAAUUGAACUUUAUCAGGUUCGUUUCACAUUAAUUUUUUAGCAUCAGCUGUGCCAUAACAUACAUUACAUAAACAUUGUCCGCUUUAUGUAUGCAUGCAUAUAACUAUUUGAUGCACGUUCUGUUGUAGCAUUCUUAAGUAGAAAAAUUUACAUGUAAUGAUACAUUCAGGAAAUACAGUUUUAUCCAAGUGUCAGUUGUGUCAAUGUUGACAAGAGGACCUCGUUGCAAUUAAGUCAGGUAAUUGUUGCUAUAUAAAUUUAAAUUAUAUGCUUGCAUAUUGCAAACAAGUGUCGAUAACAGGAAUGAACCGUUUUGAUGCUUUGCUUAUUGCUAGUAAACUAUAUAUUUGAUGCUUUGUUUUCCAGAUUAAAGAUGGGGACAUCCUAUGCUUUCAGAAAUCCACUCCACUUGAAUGCGAAGAAGAACGUAAAUAUUUUGAUGUCCCCUCGUUUAUGGAGUAUAUAAACAGUCGCAAGGUCAAAGCUAGACACAUAUGAUGAUGUGGUGAAGAAGGUGGUUUGCCAAAUUGGUUUAGAAGAUCCUACCAUAAUCAGACUCACUGCUCAUUGCUGGUAUUCUCAACAACCUAAGCCCCAACCAAUCAAUUAUCGGGGAGUAAAGUAUUUACAAGAAAUGCUCAUCCCUCAAGAUCGAGGAUCUGACGUACUGUAUUAUGAAGUCUUGGACAUCCCGCUGCCAGAAAUGCAAGUCCUAAAAAGUCUGAAAGUUUCUUUUCUUAAUGCUACAAAAGAUGAGGUCUG